UCUCUAACCACUAUAACCAUUUAACCACUUAGAACUUAUAUACUUGGUUUUAGGUUGGGGCGACCACGGAGCACAACCAAACCUCCACGAUGAACGGAACAACCCCCUUAUCUGAGAAUUACACUUCUAAGAAUUAGCACACUAACAUAAAAUGACCCAUUAUUGAUCAACGAACCAAGUUACCCUGGGGAUAACAGCGCAAUCCAUUUUAAGAGCCCCUAUCGACAAAUGGGUUUACGACCUCNAUGUUGGAUCAGGAUAUCCCAGUGGUGCAGCAGCUGCUAAAGGUUCGUUUGUUCAACGAUUAAAAUCCU
Molecule: ribosomal RNA, 314 nt
Filed under: Mantidactylus catalai
Lineage: Eukaryota; Metazoa; Chordata; Amphibia; Anura; Mantellidae
Description: partial 16S ribosomal RNA
Rfam family: Bacterial large subunit ribosomal RNA
Source: RNAcentral